Molecule: ribosomal RNA, 253 nt
Filed under: uncultured bacterium
Lineage: Bacteria
Description: partial 16S ribosomal RNA
Rfam family: Bacterial small subunit ribosomal RNA
Source: RNAcentral
GACGGGGGGGGCACCCUAUAUCCGGAAUUAUUGGGCGUAAAGCGUCCGUAGGUGGUUGACCAAGUCUGCUGUCAAAGGGUGGGGCUUAACCUCAUAAAGGCAGUGGAAACUGGUGAGCUAGGGUGCGGUAGGAGUAAGGGGAAUUCCCAGUGUAGCGGUGAAAUGCGUAGAUAUUGGGAAGAACAUCGGUGGCGAAAGCGCCUUGCUGGGACUGCACUGACACUGAGGGACGAAAGCUAGGGGAGCGAAAGGG